RNAcentral lists this ribosomal RNA (381 nucleotides) under Triticum aestivum (bread wheat). RNAcentral's name for it is "partial small subunit ribosomal RNA". The record is from RNAcentral. Lineage: Eukaryota; Viridiplantae; Streptophyta; Magnoliopsida; Poales; Poaceae.
AUGUUGCCGGCUGGUGUCAAGUUCGAUCCCACGAAUCAGGAGCUGAUCGAGCACCUUGAGGCCAAAGUGAGUGCUGACAGCGCGAGAUCUCACCCUCUCAUCGGUUUGUUCGUACCAACCAUCGACAGCGAGCACGGCAUAUGCUACACCCAUCCUGAGAAACUUCCAGGUAUCACAUUGAGUGGCCUAAGCAAGCAUUUCUUCCAGUGCAAUUCCAGGAUGUUUAAAAGGGGCACGUGGACGCAUCGCAAGAUACAGUCGGAGUGCGGCAUGCACGCGAUGUGGCACAAGGCCGGCAAUACCUUGCCCGUGAUGGUCAACGGCCGGCAGACGGGCAGCAAAAAGGUUCUGGUGCUGCACACCAACAAGAACUACAACUAG